RNAcentral lists this ribosomal RNA (406 nucleotides) under uncultured bacterium. RNAcentral's name for it is "partial 16S ribosomal RNA". It matches the Rfam family "Bacterial small subunit ribosomal RNA", at positions 29 to 526 of the family's 1533-position model. The record is from RNAcentral.
AUUGAACGCUGGCGGCCGGCCUAACACAUGCAAGUCGAGCGAGCGGCGGACGGGUGAGGAAUGUCUGGGAAACUGCCUGAUGGAGGGGGAUAACUACUGGAAACGGUAGCUAAUACCGCAUACCAUCAGAUGUGCCCAGAUGGGAUUAGCUAGUAGGUGGGGUAACGGCUCACCUAGGCGACGCUCCCUAGCUGGUCUGAGAGGAUGGACAGCCACACUGGAACUGAGACACGGUCCAGACUCCGACGGGAGGCAGCAGUGGGGAAUAUUGCACAAUGGGGGCAAGCCUGAUGCAGCCAUGCCGCGUGAGUGAAGAAGGCCUUCGGGUUGUAAAGCACUUUCAGCGGGGAGUCGUUACCCGCAGAAGAAGCAACGGCUAACUCCGUGCCAGCAGCCGCGGUAAUUC